This 639-nucleotide long non-coding RNA is filed under the name Homo sapiens (human). Its description in RNAcentral is "non-protein coding lnc-GPC6-4:1". The record is from RNAcentral. Lineage: Eukaryota; Metazoa; Chordata; Mammalia; Primates; Hominidae.
AUAUAUAUAAUAUAUAUAUCCUAUUAUAUAUAUAACAUAUAUAUCCUAUUAUAUAUAUUAUAUAUAUCCUAUUUAUAUAUAUCCUAUUAUUAUAUAUAAUAAUAUAUAUCCUAUUAUAUAUAAUAUGAAUGUAUAUAUAUGAGUUUAUUAAGUAUUAACUUACACAAUCAUAAAGUCCCACAAUACACUGCCUGCAAGCUGAGGAGCAAGGAGAGCCAGUCCGAGUGGCUGAGAAUUAUGCAUAUUCUAUCGAUUUGGAGUGGAGAGUUCUGUAGAUGCCUAUUAGGUCUGCUUGGUCCAGAGCUGGGUUCAAGUCCUGAAUAUCCUUGUUAACCUUCUGUCUCAUUGAUCUGUCUAAUAGUGACAGUGGAGUGUUCAAGUCUCCCACUAUUAUUGUGUGGGAGUUUAAAUCUCUUUGUAGGUCUCUAAGAACUUGCUUUUUGAAUCUGGGUGCUCCUGUAUUGGGUGCAUAUAUAUUUAGGAUAGUUAGCUCUUCUUGUUGCAUUGAUCCCUUUACCAAUGCAACUUCAAUGUAAUGCUCUUCUUUGUCUCUUUUAAUCUUUGUUGGUUUAAAGUCUUAUCAGAGGCUAGGAUUGCAACCAUGCUUUUUUCUCUUUUUUUUUUUUUUUUUUGCUUUCC